UAGUGUUUUGACUGCUGUUAGUGUUUGUAUAAUGUCUCAGAUCUGCAAUGGGAGUGCCAUCAUUGUGGCGAAUUCUACAACCUGUAAAGAAGGAGGUAUAUUUAUCAGAAUUAAGUGGUUAUAAAAUCGCAAUAGACCUGAAUACCUGGAUAGUUGAAUGUAAAUUAUGUACCGCUUACAAGAAUAUUUACUUAAGAAAUGUUUUCUUGCGUACCAUCGAGUUUCUGAUAAACGGCAUUGAGCCAAUUUUUGUGAUUGAUGGAAGAAUCCCAGAGUUAAAAGAUUCAACAGUACACAAACGCAGAAAGAUUUCCUAUAAUCAAGAAUGUAUCCCACCAAUAAGAAGGGAACGGUCUCGGAGUAUUACCUCUCAAAAGUGUCUUACCCUUCUGAAAUAUCUUGGAGCAACUUGCUUUACGAGUAAUGGUGAAGCUGAGGCGCUAUGUGCACAAUUAAACGCAGAAGAGGUUGUUGAUGCCUGUUUUUCAUCAGAUAGUGACAUUCUCCUCUAUGGUGCCCAAAAAGUCUACCGUAACUAUUCUAAGAUAAACAAGCAAUGUCUGUUAGAAUCGAUCAGUGCUAAAGAUGUCUUUAACAAGUUCGGAUUAGAGCAACGAUCUUUGAUUUGUUUGGCUUUGCUGAUUGGAUGUGACUAUGACAGCCAAGGAGUGAAAGGAAUCGGUUCAAAAUAUGCUUUGAUGUUACUGGAGGAACUAAAACUGAAAAACGUCGAUGCUUUGGAAAGAAUUUUAUGUUGGAGAAGCAAUGCUGAGCUACAGACACUGGCUAAAACAAAAGAGGAAUUUAUUAAAUCUAGACAUUGCCAACAAUGCAUGCACAAAGUGCACCAUCACAGCAAAAUUGGAUGCAAAAAAUGUCGGAUGAAGAAAGUGGCCACAAAAAAUUGCGUUUGUUUUUGCCAUGAAACCGUCCAGAAACUUAAGUUACAUGAAAUGGAACUAAUAGUCAGAGAAAAAGCACUUUUAAAUCCAGACUUUCCUUCAGAGAAAAUUAUUGCAGAGUUCUUGGAUUCCAAACAGAUAUAUGAUGCCAAAGAAAAUAUAACUUGGAAGGAACCAGAUAUUGAAAACUUGUGCAAGUUUAUUGUUGAGAAUCUCUUUUGGUCUGCAGAAAACUUCUUCCUGACGAUGGUCCCAUUGCUUAUUUACUGGAAGCUAAAUUCUUACCCUUACAGAUUUCUUGACGAUUUAAAACCUCAAAGAAGAAAAUUGGACCAAACUGAAAGUCUACACAAGUUUUGUUGAUAUUAAGAAGUUUACGGCAUGCUUCCCAACUAUGGCAGAAAAGUUUGAAGAGUCCAUCAGCGCUGUUGCUGAACAGAAAGCAGCGGAAGACUGAAUGCCGUAAAACUUUGGAAGAAACUACAUAAUGUAUGUUAGAAAUAAAAUUAUUUGAAUGAAA
This 1422-nucleotide unclassified non-coding RNA is filed under the name Octopus sinensis (East Asian common octopus). Its description in RNAcentral is "flap endonuclease GEN homolog 1-like, transcript variant X2". The record is from RNAcentral. Lineage: Eukaryota; Metazoa; Mollusca; Cephalopoda; Octopoda; Octopodidae.